Phyllopteryx taeniolatus (common seadragon) is the source of this 73-nucleotide non-coding RNA. Lineage: Eukaryota; Metazoa; Chordata; Actinopteri; Syngnathiformes; Syngnathidae. The record is from the annotation of a RefSeq genome assembly.
ACCUGGAUAUCUCAGUCGGUAGAGAAUCAGACUCUUAAUCUGAGGUUCCAGGGUUCAAGUCUCUGUUCAGGCA